GGUGGGUUACUCAAGUGGCUGAAGAGGCGGGUUUGCUAAACCUGUAGGACGCUGUAAAGUGUCGCGAGAGUUCGAAUCUCUCACCCACCACCA
Molecule: transfer RNA, 93 nt
Filed under: Candidatus Altimarinota bacterium
Lineage: Bacteria; Candidatus Altimarinota
Description: tRNA-Ser
Rfam family: tRNA
About the family: Transfer RNA (tRNA) molecules are approximately 80 nucleotides in length. Their secondary structure includes four short double-helical elements and three loops (D, anti-codon, and T loops).
Source: RNAcentral